Molecule: ribosomal RNA, 793 nt
Filed under: uncultured Streptococcus sp.
Lineage: Bacteria; Bacillati; Bacillota; Bacilli; Lactobacillales; Streptococcaceae
Description: bacterial SSU rRNA
Rfam family: Bacterial small subunit ribosomal RNA
Source: RNAcentral
GAUGAACGCUGGCGGCGUGCCUAACACAUGCAAGUCGAGCGAGGGUUUGCUCAGUAUUGAGUAUUCUAAGUCUAGAAUGUUCAAUUCUGAGCAAAACCAAGCGGCGGACGGGUGAGUAACGCGUAGGUAACCUGCCUGGUAGCGGGGGAUAACUAUUGGAAACGAUAGCUAAUACCGCAUAAGAGUAGAUGUUGCAUGACAUUUGCUUAAAAGGUGCAAUUGCAUCACUACCAGAUGGACCUGCGUUGUAUUAGCUAGUUGGUGGGGUAACGGCUCACCAAGGCGACGAUACAUAGCCGACCUGAGAGGGUGAUCGGCCACACUGGGACUGAGACACGGCCCAGACUCCUACGGGAGGCAGCAGUAGGGAAUCUUCGGCAAUGGACGGAAGUCUGACCGAGCAACGCCGCGUGAGUGAAGAAGGUUUUCGGAUCGUAAAGCUCUGUUGUAAGAGAAGAACGAGUGUGAGAGUGGAAAGUUCACACUGUGACGGUAUCUUACCAGAAAGGGACGGCUAACUACGUGCCAGCAGCCGCGGUAAUACGUAGGUCCCGAGCGUUGUCCGGAUUUAUUGGGCGUAAAGCGAGCGCAGGCGGUUAGAUAAGUCUGAAGUUAAAGGCUGUGGCUUAACCAUAGUACGCUUUGGAAACUGUUUAACUUGAGUGCAAGAGGGGAGAGUGGAAUUCCAUGUGUAGCGGUGAAAUGCGUAGAUAUAUGGAGGAACACCGGUGGCGAAAGCGGCUCUCUGGCUUGUAACUGACGCUGAGGCUCGAAAGCGUGGGGAGCAAACAGG